UAAACCAAUAAGGCAAUAAACCAAUAAGGCAAUAAACCAAUAGAAAAUAAAUUAGAUACGUAUGUUCAUGUGUACGUUUUAUACAUACUUUUUGUUUAUGAUUAACAUAACAAAGAAGCUGGUAGCAACCAAAACAAAUGUCAGCACAGUUAUAACUAUAUGUACACAAAAAAAAAAAAAAAAUAAAUAAAAUAAAAUAUUAACAGUGUUGUUGCAAUAUACGCGUGUUAUAUUAUAUAAUAAAGCAUCCCACUCUAUAAUGUAUUUAUAUAUAUAUAUAUAUAUAUAUAUUAUAUAUGCAAAAAUGGACAAACGCACCCCGUACGUGUCUAAUUAUACUGCAAAACACUUCAACCUAUUUUUUUUUUUAAUUUGUAGGUAUUAUGAUGGUUUUUUAGUGUUAAGACAUAAAAAGCUGUAUUUGUGGAAAUUAGAAAAAACGUAUACAGGCUUGAAGAUCAAAGAAACUGGUUUAGAUAUUGAUUCGAAAUUACACGUAAACUGUUUUUGUGUUUAUGAAAAGAAUAUUUUUAUUAGUUUAUCAAACAAUAAGAUAUUAUUAUGGAAGGAUUUGGAUGAAAAGAAAGAAGUGGAAAUCACUAAUAAUAAUCAAAGCACACAUUACAACAUUAGUUAUAUACAUUAUUAUGAUAACUACAUAAUAACAAAAGAAGGGAAUUCAAUAAGACUAUGGAAAUGCUUGUUUGAUAUUUCAAACGUUUUAAAAUAUUCUAAAGAUAAACUAGAGAUAGAAUUAAAAAGUGAAAUUAAAGCAAACAUAAACAUUAAUAAAAUAAUAGUACAUAAUAAAUUUUUUUUAUAUAUUGAUAAAAAGAAUUAUACAGUUUAUAAAUCUUCUAAAAACAAUUUUGAUGAUAUGGGUAUAUUAUAUAACGAUCAUAAUAGUACAAUCGAAAAUUUAUAUUUUAAUAAUAGUAGUAGUAGUAAUAAUAAUAAUAAUAAUAAUAGUAGUAACAAUAAUAGUAAUAAUAAUAGUAGUAAUAAUAAUAAUAGUAAUAAUAAUAAUAGUAGUAACAAUAAUAGUAGUAAUAAUAAUAGUAGUAAUAAUAGUAUAUACAGUUUUGGACAUAAUGGUAAAAUAUAUUAUUAUGAAUAUAAUAAUAAAAAAAACGUUAAUGAAAUUGAUGGUAAUUAUUGUUUACACCAUUUUGAAAAACAUAUAAUAACAUGUUGUAAAUUUUUAUAUAAAGAAGAUAACUAUUUAUUUUUUUGUAUUGGUUUUAACGAUGGUAUAAUUAAAAUAAUAAAAAUGGGACCUUUUUAUUUAGAUAUAAUAUAUUGUUUAAAAACUAGUAAUUAUUCAAUUAAUAAAAUUGAAAAAAGUGAAAAUUGUGAUUAUAUAUGUAUAUUAUCUCUAUAUGAUCCUUAUGUUUUCUUUUUAUAUAAAAAUAUAAAUAAAUUUAAGCCAUUAGGCUAUUUAAAAAUAAAUGAAUGUACUGUUAAUAAUUGUUUCUACUUUUCUACUAUUAAUUGUUUUUAUUUAGUGGGUAGUCAUAAUUAUUUGUUUCAAAUCGAUAUAGAAUUAUUAAAAAAAGAGACUAAAAAUAGGUGUGAUUUUACUACUAUUAAUUCGGAAAAAGAACAACAAUUGGAUUUACAAAAUCAAAUAAAUAUGGGGAUAGGAGCAGUAGCGGUAUCGGGACUAGAGACAAGAACAGAUACACGAUCAGGUGUAGGGUCAAAUGUAGAGUACAGUGCAGAGUUAGAACCAAAAAACAGUAAUGUAUACGAUUUAUACAUUAACUAUGAUAUAAUUAAAAUAGAAUUUUUAAAUAUGUUUACUAAAAAAAGUAAUGGAAUAAUAAUGUGUAGUUAUGAUAAUAAUACUGAUUUUAAUUUUUUUAAUAACAAGUACAGAGAUACAAACAACACAUCGUCUAUGUUUAAAAAAACGAACCGUGACAGCUAUACAAAUGGUCAAAAUAGUAAACUGGGUACACAUGCAGCAAAUGCGAAAGAAAACAACGAAGCAAAUUUUGACAAAAAAAAUACUUACAAUAACGAAAACGACAACAAUAACGACAACGAUAACAAUAACGACAACGAUAACAAUAACGACAACGAUNNNNNNNNNNACGACAACGAUAACAAUAACGACAACGAUAACAAUAACGACAACGAUUACAACGACGACCAAAGUGAACAAGACACGAAGUACUCCUCUAGCGAUUUCAGUGAUGACACUUAUUUUAAAUUAAAUUUUUAUAAUGAUAAAAUGCGUUUAACAAAAGUUGUUGAAGAUGGUACCAAAAGCACAAACAAAAGUUUGGACAGUAAUUUUGAAAAUAAAAAAAAAAACUUAUCCAAAUUAAUUUCAAUUAUUUUUAAUAAAAAGAUUUUAAACAAUUUAAAUAAAAAAAAAAAAAAUUAUUACAGUAAUUGUUUAAGUAUUUAUUUUCAAAAAGAUAAAAUGAAAAAACUUUUAAAAGAAUAUACAAAUGAAUUAGCAAUGGAAAAAGAGCAAAAAGUUGAUAAUAAAAAAUGUACCCAUAAUAAUAAAACAGUUGAUGUUAUUUUACGACAAGAUAUUUAUAAAAAUGGAAUAUACGACACAAAUAAUGAUAAUAAUAAAAACAAACAAAAUUAUAAUGCCACACAUCGUACUCUAAGGAAUCAACAUAUACAAGAAAGAAAAAUACGUUGUAUACAGAAAAUAAAAAAUGAAGGUUUUUUUAUUACUACUAACGGUUUAACAAAUAAUUGUAUAUUAUAUUUAGCUGUUAAUCUUUUAUCAAAUAAUUUAAAAAUGUAUAAUAAUGACUGUAGGGAAAAAAAACAAAAAUAUAUAAUAACAACACAACCAAUUGUUAUUUAUAAGAUACCAAGAACACAUUUUACCAAAAAAAUGUUUAUACAAAAUAUGGAAAUAAAUGAAUAUAAUAAUAUAUUAAUCUGUCUAACAAACAAUAAUGAUCUUUACAUUUUUUCAUUAACAUGUUUUUUUCUUUAUUAUUAUAUUAAGUUACCAUAUUAUGAUAAAGUCAAAAAAGUAGUUUUAAAUAGUAACAACCGUAAUAAUAUAAAUAAAAAUAAUGAACAACAACAGAUAUUUAUUUGUUUACAUAAUAAAUAUGUUGGAUUACAAUUUUCCGUUCCACUUUUUCAUGCUUUUAAUAUGAUUCAAAGAUAUAAUUUAAAUAUACAAAAAUGGUUACACUUGCUUCUUGAUAACAAAUCGUAUGAUAUUGAAGAACAAAAUUUCGUACAUAAAUUUUUUAUAGAAGAAAUUUAUGAUUAUUUAAUUGGAAAAGUUACAAAAAAAAAAAAAAAUUUAAAAAAAAAAAUUAACUUAAUACCUUUUUCGUUUGAACAGCUAAAUGAUGAUUUAACAUUUUUAUCUAAUUUGUUAACAAAAAAAAAAAUUAUAACAGAACAAAAUGAGCAAAAUGAAAAAAAUGAGCAAAAUGAAAAGGGAACAAAAAUAAACAAAGAUGUUAGUACUAAUAAGGGCUCAGAUAUAUGGGACUUUAUACACACAUGUGGUACUUCUAAUAAUGACAUUGGGCAAAGUCGAACUAUCACCAAACUAGGUCAUAAAAAGGAGCCAGAAAAGGAGCAGGAAAAGGGACAAGAAGAACAAAAAAAAGAAGCAAAACAUGAGCGAGCGAACAAAAGAAUCGAAUUAAAAUUAAAUUAUAAUAGUGGAUCUUUAAACAAUAUUUUCAACCUAAAUACGAACGUAAUAGAUAAGGUUAUAUUAUACAGUUUAAGGGAAACUAAAUAUGCCAAAAAAAGAGAAGAAGACAUUAAAAGAGCUUUAUUGUAUAAACAAAAUAUGCACUUACAAAUUGAAAAAUUAAAAAAAAAAUAUGAUAAGCUAGCUAAAAAAAAAAAAUUUAUUAUAGACACUGAUUUUUCUUAUAUAGUGUAUAAAAAUUUAAAACAAAAAAUAGAACAAAUUAAAAAUGUUUUUAUUUAUAAUCAACAAUUAUGUGAUAAUCGAAUAAAAUAUUUUUCAAAUAUGUACUUACGAUUAAUGUUUUUUAAACAACCAUUACAAUCUUUUCAUUUUGACAAAACAAAACAUAUUACAACCAAAUCUAUUAAAAUGUAUUUAAAAAAUAAUAAAUAUCAAACAGUAAAAAAAUAUAAAAAAAAAAAAAAUACCAAAAAAACAACACAAGAUAAUUAUAACUUCCAAUCAGAAAUAAAUGAAUACUUAAAUGAGUUUAAUCAAUUAAAAAAAAAAAAUUUAAAUAAAAAAAAUAUAAACAGUGAGGAAAAAAUCGAAGAAAUAUGUUAUAAAAAAAAAAUCAUUAAAAUUUAUGAAAAUGUUUUAGCAAAUAUGGAAAAAACGAUGAAAAAUGAAGGAUCCCAAAAUCAAGAACAAAAAACCUUUACUCUUCGUAAAAUAUCUAGUAUAAAUCAAAUUGUUAGAAAAUUUGAAGAAGACAAACAAAAGUUAUUAAAUCAAAUCAAUUUUAUUAAGAAGACUUUUAACGAUGAAUUUUUUUUACUGAAAAUGCGUAUAUCGCAUGAAAUUGAAAAAUUAAGCCACGAAAUUGUAUUUACUGAAGAUGAUGAAUCUAAACAAGAAAAACCAAAACAAGAAAAACAAAACCAAACCAAUGAUAAGUUUACACUUACUAAUAAAGAAAUAACAAACUGUGAUAAAUCUGAAAAAAACAAAGAAAUAAAUUAUACUAAUGUAAUAGAUGUAUGUGAUUAUAAAAAAAUAAAUAAUAUGAAUGAACAAAAUAUUUUAACACGUGAUCUUAUAAACUUAUAUAUGGUAAAAAAAAAAAAUAAUAACAUAUUUAAUAUGUUUCCAAUAAAUCUAAGUUCUAAUUUUUUUGAAAAUAAGUAUGGUACAGCUAUAAGUUCUACUACCAGUAAUAAAAACACGAAUGGUAUAAAACGCUUAAACAAAAUGCUAAAUCAGUUUAACAAAGAAAUUAAUGUAUUGAAUACUAAACGGAUUGAAGCCAUUCGAAUGAUAAAAUACAUAUCUUUAAAAAUUUUAUCGAUUAAUGAAAAAAAUAGUAUACUUAAAGAAUUGAGAAAAAAAGAAUUAAAGUUAAAAAAUCAAAAAAAAGUAUAUACAAAAGAAAUACAAAAUAUUAAAAAUGAAGUAGAUAAUUGUACAAAUUCAACGCAAUUAUUGUUAGAAGAUCUGGAAAACCAAAAUGUAACCAACUACAUAUAGGCAUAUAAAUUA
Piliocolobus tephrosceles (Ugandan red Colobus) is the source of this 5179-nucleotide long non-coding RNA. NCBI's taxonomy places the organism in Eukaryota, Metazoa, Chordata, Mammalia, Primates, Cercopithecidae. The record is from Ensembl.